AGUUUGAUCAUGGCUCAGGAUUAACGCUGGCGGCAUGCCUAACACAUGCAAGUCGAAUGUUGCUCGCAAGAGUAAACAUGGCAGACGGCUGAGUAACGCGUGGGGACUUACCUCUUAGUCGGGCAUAACCCAUCGAAAGGUGGGAUAAUUCCUGAUGUUGUCGCAAGACCAAAGAUUUAUCGCUAAGAGAGAGACCUGCGUCUGAUUAGCUUGUUGGUGAGGUAACGGCUCACCAAGGCUCUGAUCAGUAGGGGACCUGAGAGGGUGACCCCCCAGACUGGGACUGAGACACGGCCCAGACUCCUACGGGAGGCAGCAGUGAGGGAUUUUCCACAAUGGACGAAAGUCUGAUGGAGCAAUGCCGCGUGAAGGAUGAAGGCUUUCGGGUUGUAAACUUUUUUUUUACGGAAAGAUUAUGACGGUACCGUAAGAAUAAGACGCUGCUAACUACGUGCCAGCAGCAGCGGUAAUACGUAGGCGUCGAGCGUUAUCCGGUUUUACUGGGCGUAAAGGGUCCGCAGGUGGAUUUUUAAGUCUGACGUUAAAGAUCUCGGCUCAACCGAGGGA
This 567-nucleotide ribosomal RNA is filed under the name uncultured bacterium. Its description in RNAcentral is "bacterial SSU rRNA". It matches the Rfam family "Bacterial small subunit ribosomal RNA", at positions 10 to 620 of the family's 1533-position model. The record is from RNAcentral.